RNAcentral lists this unclassified non-coding RNA (392 nucleotides) under soil metagenome. Its description in RNAcentral is "partial contains 5.8S ribosomal RNA, internal transcribed spacer 2, and large subunit ribosomal RNA". The stretch from base 1 to 122 matches the Rfam family "5.8S ribosomal RNA", at positions 35 to 154 of the family's 154-position model. The record is from RNAcentral.
GAUGAAGAACGUAGUGAAAUGCGAUACUUGGUGUGAAUUGCAGAAUCCCGUGAACCAUCGAGUCUUUGAACGCAAGUUGCGCCCGAAGCCAUUAGGCCGAGGGCACGCCUGCCUGGGCGUCACACGUCGUUGCCCCCCCCAUCUACUCCUUCGGGAUUGCGGGGGGCGGAUGAUGGCCUCCCGUGCGCCUCGCCGCGCGGUUGGCAUAAAUGCCAAGUCCUCGGCGACGCACGCCGCGACAAUCGGUGGUUGCGAAACCUCGGUUGCCCGUCGUGUGCGGUCGUCGCGCAUCGAGGGCUCGAAAAAAUUGCCGAGUUCCGGCUCGGCUUUCAACGCGACCCCAGGUCAGGCGGGGUUACCCGCUGAAUUUAAGCAUAUCAAUAAGCGGAGGA